UCCUACGGGAGGCAGCAGUGGGGAAUAUUGGACAAUGGGCGCAAGCCUGAUCCAGCCAUGCCGCGUGCGGGAAGAAGGCCUUCGGUUGUAAACCGCUUUUGUCAGGGAAGAAAAGGUUCUGGCUAAUACCUGGGACUCAUGACGGUACCUGAAGAAUAAGCACCGGCUAACUACGUGCCAGCAGCCGCGGUA
This 192-nucleotide ribosomal RNA is filed under the name uncultured beta proteobacterium. RNAcentral describes it as "partial 16S ribosomal RNA". It matches the Rfam family "Bacterial small subunit ribosomal RNA", at positions 337 to 522 of the family's 1533-position model. The record is from RNAcentral. Lineage: Bacteria; Pseudomonadati; Pseudomonadota; Betaproteobacteria.